UUUCCAUGGGAAGGGGCGGGCUGGGUCCAGUCCGCAGGGCCCCUCCGGGCGCUGACCUCGGAUGGAGUUGAGGUGCUGCGGCGCUGGACCCCAGGGCCCCUGCCUGCCUCCUGGGGAGCCGGGUGACCCAGGCAGCCCCGGUGAGGCCCCCCCGGCUCCCACAGGACGGAUGCGGACAGGGAAGCCGGGGAGGCCUCCCUGCUGGACUGUCCCUGCAGCCCCCAGCUUUCCGUGGUUCUAAGGGCCCCCUCUGCAGAGGGACCAGGGAGCCCGCCCUGCAUCCUGAGGCGCCGCGCUUGAGGGACCCCACAGCUCCGGCCAGGCCGCUUCCUUUGCGGAUCGUGAAGCUGAGGUCCAGAGGAGGGCAGGGGCAGGCCCUGGAAGCUCCCCAAGCAAAGGGAGCCGAUCUCGGGGCUGGGGUCACAGGGCUCCACUCCUGUGAUCUCUAGGGCCCUAGAGCCGGGAGGAGAGACUGGGGGGCCUUUCGUCCACCGCUGGGGCUGGGCAGAGGCUCAGCCUGGGCCGCAACGCGAAGCUGCUUCUGUGCAGUCCGAGCCGCGGCCCCUUUAAGAAGGGGUGGUGCUUCAGCCAGUCGCUAGGGACGCUGCCGGCGUGCGCGCCUCUACGGAAGCCGAGACGGCUCUUUCCGCGGGGCCCGGGCAGAAGCCGCGGCGUCGUUGAAGCCAACGGAAGCGGCGGCGAUGUGGUCUGAGCGAGCGAAAGCGGCGGCCAGAGUCUGGGGCGUAGUCCUAGUGGGCAGAAGCGCAGUCGACGUCCCAGCGAGCAGAAGCGACCGCGCGGUCCCAGCCGGCAAAAGCGGAGGCCGCGUCCCAGCGAACAGAAGUGGCGGCGUCCAGAAGCGGCGAGCUUCGGAGAAGCCGUGGUGGCUUCCAUGUGAUGGAGGAGCAGGAGGGACGCUUCCGCGGUCCAUCUGGGUUGCUGCACAUGGCACUGUUUCAUCAUUUCGGUGGCCAAAGAAUAUUCCCUAGUGUAUGCAUACGAGAGUUUCUUGAUCCCAUUGUGGAUGGACAGGAGGUGAAGAUGUUUUCAGUCUGCAUGCCUGGGAUCGUGUGGAAUGGGACUUUCUCUACCAGGCUCAUUCGUUGGACCUGAUGUUCUCCAGGUUUCUUCAUGUGGCUGCAGAUGGCAGGAUUCCCAGAGCUUUAUGGCUGGAACAUACUCCAUGGUGUAUCUGUACAGCAGUUUCUUCAUCCCUGCAGCUGCGGGUGGACAGGUCAUAGAUGAUGUCCUCCAAGUUCAACAGCGUGGCUCCAAAUGAUGACAUUUCAUUCCGGUUUUCUAGCUGAAGACGAUUCUAUUUGUGCACAUACACCAGGUAUCCCUUCAUGUGUGGAUGGGCAGCAUCAUUUCAGGAUGAGUAUUUCUUGGCAAGUGGAUUCAAGGAACAGUGCGAAGGAUCCAUGGCCUCAAUCACCAUGAAGAGCCUCCCAAGAGCCAACCGUCCUGGGCACAUGUGAGUGGAGACAUGGAACUCACCCUUACAAGGCCUAGAACCUGACAGAUCAUACAAGACAGAAGCCCAGGUAACUAAGAAGGGGACGCUGAAGGUGAGAGGUGGGCCCCAGAGGAUUCUGUGAAAAUGCUUUGUGUUUGUGGAUUUCUCACGCAGAAUGAAACCUUUGUUUUUAUUCACAGGUUAGACACACUCUCCAUAUAGAAUCUAUGAAGGGACAUUGCUGAAUUUUUUGAGGCCUAUAGUGAAAAAUGGAUUAUCUCAGGCAGCUCAGGAUGAAUAAUGCAGUCACCAAGAGGGGCAGGGUGGCCACAGGUGGCCAGCAGCAGGAAUGGGCAUUGUGAGCCAUUGGAUGGGGUUGUGGGAAAUGGCAUUGUGAGUCACUGGCCUGACUUUGUUGUUUCCUGGCAAUCAGGUGACAUAGGAGGCUUUGUGGGGGGACAGGCAUCAGCCAGGACCAGCAGCCUUCAGUCGGAAGCUGGUAGUGGGAGGAGGAGAAGCUCCGACUACUCUCACGGAAGUGUUUGUGUGCUUGGCGCUUGCUCUGUUGCUUUGUUUUUCCCUUUGAUUUAUUUUAUUCUAUGUUAUUUUGUCUGUUGCUUUUUUUUUUUUUUUUUUGGUGUUAUUUGUUUUGUUUUGUUUUUUUGUUUUAUAUUUUGUUGAUUUGUUGUUACAGUCCCCUUGUAGAUCACCCAUGGGGAAUUGCUUAGCCCCGGCGCUGGCGUCAGUUGUGCCUGCUGCGAGCCUUGUGGCCAGUCUGUGGCAUCCACCACUGCAGAGCCUGCCGCCUUACAUCCCGGAGUGAUGGAGGUCCAGCACAUGCUGCCCAUAAAAUCAAAGAGGUGCAAAGGUUUGGCUGGCCGCGCCAGGAGCUGGGCAGCAAAGAGGAGGCGCAAGAAAAUUUGCCACAGUGAAAAUGAAGGAGAGUGGUCCAGGAGCAUCUCAGUCCAUGCUUGUCAGCAGUGCAGCUCCAUACACUGCAGCUUCGGUCCACAUCCCCCAAGCCUCCUUGUGGGAUUCCUCAGCAGCACCAGUGCACUGACUGUCUCUCGGUGUUCUCCUACCUCCUGGUCAAGACCCAGAAGAGUGUGCUACUUAGAGGCUUCAGGAGGAGACGUCACCUCACAUAUUAAGAUGCAUGCUUCUAGAAUAUCAACUCCUUCUGAGGACAGUGAGACAUUUACUUCUGUGGAUGAUUACGAGAUCUCGUCAGUUUCUGAUUGCGGCAUGUACCUGGAAGUAGCUCAUCUGCUGAUUUUAAUAUAUAGAAACCUGACCCUGGGUUCUGGUUAAAGAACAUGGGGGCGUCUAAUGAGAGCAAAUAAUUUUGUAAGUGUAUACCUCUGAUCAGAGGGGCUGUAUGAAUGCAUGUGAACCCCGAGGACCAGCCAGGGGAUGUUGUGUGAGCCGACGUGGCUUCAGCUGGAGGAAGAGGAGUGGGUGAGUCACUCUAAUGACUUGUCCUGAUGUUUUUGUUUCUAAAGACCGGCCUCUGGAGACGGUCUUCACACUCAGUAAAGACGACCCCCAAGGUAGGGAACUACUUGCCAGGUAGGACCCAAUGGGAAAGGGCUCCUAAGAGCCUUCAUGUUAUCCCCGCUGCUUGAGGGGCUGAAGAAGGGGGUAUGAAAUCAGGAAAAAAUGAAAAUGUGUGCAAGGUUUGGUUUGCUCUUUUCAGAGUUUGUUGUCAUAAAGGUAGGAACUGUGUCUCUGGGCUGUGAAGGUGCUGUGAUCAUUAGAGAUGGUCUCUGCAGUACACCUGCUCUUUUCUGCCCAGUGAAGCAUCAAAACCUUUGGUUUGGAUUACUCAGCACUCCUUGGGAUUAUGCACAAGGGAUGUAGCGCUGGGCAUUGAGUGUCAUCUGUAAGGAAAGGAAGGAAUCUGUCAGAACAUCUGUCUCACAGGCAUUUACUUGAACUUAGAGAAAAAGCUCUGCUGGGGGGAAAUUGAUAAUCACCCUCUGAACUUUUAAGACUUGUUAUAUAUAGCACGUUUAUGUUUCUGUCCUGUCUGCGGGUUUAAAGGGAUCUCCCAGGGGUGGAUGGCAGAGUGAAUAUUCACUCUGGGCUCACUGGUGCAUCUCCAGUCUCCUGGGAAGGCAGAGAAGGAGUCUGACCUUGAGCGCAUUUGUAGCCUCCACUUCCCACCCCUACCGCAGAUUCUGAGAUGAGGCUUCUUUCUCUCCAGUUCUCUAAUUUUUGGGGAAACCAAGAGUUCCUUCCCACAGAAGAUGGCAUCACACUAUUUCCUGUCUUCAAAAAUUAGGUUUCCAUUCUUCCCACAGAAUAUGGCAUCACACUAUUUCCUGUCUUCAAAAAUUAGGUUUCCAUUGUUCUCUAAGUUGAUAUUUAUAAGUUAAGUGCUGGACCUUUUAUUCACAGAUUGCUAAAAGUUGUGCAGGAAACUCCAGAGGAUAAAAUGUGCUGACAGCACAUGAUUCUGUCCACGCUACGGAUGACAUUUUAUUUUUGGAGGAUCCUGAUUUUACAUAGUAAGAUGCAAAACUCAGCGGCACCCUCUCUCCAGUCUGGGGCGCUUCAUUAGAACUGGGUUCGCUGCUGCCAUUUGCUUUUCUUCAUGAGACCUUUGAACCACCUAAAUAUUGCCAGCACCCUCUUGGGACCCUGACGUCUGAGAGGGUGAGAUGGCACCAGUGCAGACAUCCCUGGUUCCUCCCUGAAAUUUCCCUCCUCCUUUAAUCUUCCUUAAGGGACCUGCUCUGACUGCUAAUGACUUGUUUAGACUCUCCAGCUUUGGACUGUCAUACAUAGAAUAAGUCAAUAUGUGUUUCUCGGUGUCUGGCUUUUUCGCUCACAUUAUGAUUUGAAAUUCAUUCAAGUUUGUAAGUGUAACUGUCAUUCUUCCAUCUCCUUGUUGCGUACCAUUCCACUGUAGUCACGUAUUACAGUUUAUCCACUCUACUGUUGAUUGACAUAGAAUUUUCUUCUUUUGUUUUUAAAUAAUUAUGCCUGUUAUAACAUAAGUAAUGUUGCUUUGAGUAUUUUUGUCAAUGGUUUUGGAAUAAUACUGGCACUCAUUUCUGUGAAGUAGAUUGUUAGAAGGGAACAUAUCUUUUAUUGUCAUGAAUAGUGCCAAAUACUUUUCAAAAUGGUGAUGCUAAUUCAUGCUCCUGUAGCAGCACAUGUGAGGAGACAUUUCUCCAAAUCCUUGUGAACUCUGUUUUUUCUUUCCCUAAAAAUUUCAUCACUGAGGUUAGUCUUUCAUUUGUAUAGCAUCUUACUUAAAAUUUUUAAGCAAAAAUUUUGUUUUAAUCUAAUGAUGCUGGCCAGUAGGUUUGUGUACGCCCGUCUGACCCCAGCCAUGUAAGUAGUCAUUGAUCAAAAUGUCACUGUGCCACAUGACUAAGUUAUUAAAAUGGAAAGGGUAACUGACACACAUCUGAGUCAUGGAUACUACGCAGUCACAUCUCUGUGUUGCCUCCUUGAAGCAUCACAGUCACUCUGAGGCAUAAUUAGUUUGGUUCUAUUCAUUACACAGAUGAGGAAUGUGAGUCUCGGGUAAGUAAAUUAUUCAUGAGACACGCCCACAGCUGGAUCUCUAACACCGAAGGCUAAUCUAUGAACUAACGUGCUGCACUGCCUGUCAUGGAGAAGUAGACUUGCCGUAAAGUGAAGUUUGCUUCCGUAGCUGGGCGUGUGAGCCCAGUGGGGUUGCUGUGACCCAUUGCUUUAUGGGUUUGAGAUUGGUGUUGCAGAAACCCAGAUGGAGAAGCUCUUUGGCUGAGGGAGUGAAAACUUACUGAAAGGAUAGAUGAGUGCGUUGGAAGGAUCACGCUUCCAUAGAGCAUGUUGUUGAGCCUCUUGGAAUAAGAACAGAUAAAAUCAGAGUCACCCUGUCCUCAGUUGUACCAUUCAGUAAGCAUCAGCAUGCCAUGAAGUGUGCUCCCUGUUGUGUUGCAGGGACAUGAAAUCUAUCCCAGGCCUCUGUGGCCGCCCAUUCUGUCCCAUCCAGUGAAGCUCUGUUCUGUUCAUUGGUCUACAUCUCGGUUUCGGUAUUAGUACCAUGCCGUUUUGAUUACUGUAGCAGUUGACUAUGUUUCUGAUCAGGUUUUCAGUACUCAUUGAGAGAAGCAGAACCUCGUGCAAACAAUCCACAGCACGCCGUGCCCUCAUACUGCUUUGUUUCUGUGUUGCAGGUAGUGCCAGUGUUGCAUCUGAAGUAUGACUCUGGCGAGGCCGAGUGUUUUCUCAGGAGAGAUUUCCCAUUUACACAGCCCAGUCACCAGUGUCCACUUCUAAAAAAUAAAAUCCAGACGAUCGAUCCAAGAUGGCCGACCACUAACAGCUCAGGAUUGUAGCUCCCAGUGAAAGCCCAGAGAACGAGACAACGCCACACUUUUAGACAAAUUUUCGUCACUCACCGAUCAGCUGAUUCCCAGUGGAGGAGCCCCACGGGUCGCCAGCGCGACUCUUGUGGCCGCUGCAGUGGUUUUGCCGGCGUCUCGGCGCAGCAGCUCUUCAUGCAGAGCCAACGGGACUGCUUCCCCUACUGACUAGAGUUUGGAGCUCCGGGAAGUCAGAGCCGCUUGUUGCGGACUCAAGAGGGAAGCCAGACCAGAGAUUCCCGGGCAGAAGAGCACCAUCAGUCUUACCGCUGCUAUUUAGGCUGCCACAGUGGGUUGCUCGGAUCCCAACACUGGGAAUCAAUAAGUCAGACGUCGACUCAGAAAACUAAUUAGAAAGGCGGUUCAUCUACAAUGAAGGGAAAGAAACAGCCUAAGAAGGCCGAGUAUACUCAAGGUCAGAACCCAUCAGCAACAGAACAAGCCCUGAUGGAAAAGGACUCAUCAGCAACCGAACAAGCCCUGAUGGAAAAGGACUCAUCAGUAACGGAACAAGCCCUGAUGGAAAAGGACUGUGUUCCAUUAUCUGAAGCAGGCUUUAAAAGGUGGAUGAUAAGAAACUUCUGGGAGUUAAAGGAACUCGUUCUAACCCAAUGUAAAGAAACUAAGAACUUGGAAAAAAGGUUAGAUGAAAUGUUGAAAAUAGACAAUAUAGAGAGGAAUACAAAUGAACUUAUGGAGUUGAAAAAUACAACACGAGAACUUAGUGAAAUAUGUACAAGCUUAAACAGCCGAAUGGAUCAAGCAGAAGAAAGGGUAUCAGAGGUCGAAGAUCAACUUAAUGAAACAAAACAAGACAAGAAUAGAGAAAAAAGGAUAAAAAGGAAUGAGCAAAGUCUCCAAGCAAUAUGGGACUAUGUGAAAAGACCUAAUAUAUGCUUGAUUGGUGUACCUGAAUGUGACGGAGAGAAUGAAUUCAAGCAGGAAAUUACUCUCCAGGACAUUAUCCAGGAAAAUUUUCCUAAUUUAGCAAAGCAGGACACUAUUCAACCCCAGGCAAUACAGAGAACACCACAAAGAUAUUUCUCAAGAAGACCAACCCCAAGGCACAUAAUCGUUAGAUUCACCAAGAUCGAAACGAAGGAGAAAAUAUUAAGGGCAGCCAGAGAGAAAGAUCAAGUUACCCAUAAAGAAAGAGUUGUUUUAAGAAAACAGAUGCCGAUAGAGAUCGAUCCAAGAUGGCCGACCACUAACAGCUCAGGAUUGUAGCUCCCAGUGAAAGCCCAGAGAACGAGACGACACCACACUUUUAGACAAAUUUUCGUCACUCACUGAUCAGCCGAUUCGCAGUGGAGGAGCCCCACGGGUUGCCAGCGCGACUCUUGUGGCAGCUGCAGCGGUUUUGCCGGCGUCUUGGCGCAGCAGCUCUUCAUGCAGAGCCAACGGGACUGCUUCCCCUACUGACUGGAGUUUGGAGCUCCGCUUGUUGCGGACUUGAGGGAAGCCAGACCAGAGAUUCCCGGGCAGAAGAGCACCAUCAGUCUUACCGCUGCUAUUUAGGCUGCCACAGUGGGUUGCUCGGAUCCCAACACUGGGAAUCAAUAAGUCAGACGUCGACUCAGAAAACUAAUUAGAAAGGCGGUUCAUCUACAAUGAAGGGAAAAAAACAGCCUAAGAAGGCCGAGUAUACUCAAAAUCAGAACCCAUCAGCAACAGAACAAGCCCUGAUGGAAAAGGACUCAUCAGCAACCGAACAAGCCCUGAUGGAAAAGGACUCAUCAGUAACGGAACAAGCCCUGAUGGAAAAGGACUGUGUUCCAUUAUCUGAAGUAGGCUUUAAAAGGUGGAUGAUAAGAAACUUCUGGGAGUUAAAGGAACUCGUUCUAACCCAAUGUAAAGAAACUAAGAACUUGGAAAAAAGGUUAGAUGAAAUGUUGAAAAGAAUAGACAAUAUAGAGAGGAAUACAAAUGAACUUAUGGAGUUGAAAAAUACAACACGAGAACUUAGUGAAAUAUGUACAAGCUUAAACAGCCGAAUGGAUCAAGCAGAAGAAAGGGUAUCAGAGGUCGAAGAUCAACUUAAUGAAACAAAACAACAAGACAAGAAUAGAGAAAAAAGGAUAAAAAGGAAUGAGCAAAGUCUCCAAGCAAUAUGGGACUAUGUGAAAAGACCUAAUAUACGCUUGAUUGGUGUACCUGAAUGUGACGGAGAGAAUGAAUUCAAGCAGGAAAAUACUCUCCAGGACAUUAUCCAGGAAAAUUUUCCUAAUUUAGCAAAGCAGGACACUAUUCAACCCCAGGCAAUACAGAGAACACCACAAAGAUAUUCCUCAAGAAGACCAACCCCAAGGCACAUAAUCGUUAGAUUCACCAAGAUCGAAACGAAGGAGAAAAUAUUAAGGGCAGCCAGAGAGAAAGAUCAAGUUACCCAUAAAGGUAAGCCUAUUAGGUUUACAGCAGAUCUCUCAAUGGAAACCCUACAAGCUAGAAGAGUGGGGGCCAAUAUUCAAUAUACUUAAUCAACAGAACUUUCAGCCCAGAAUUUCAUAUCCUGCCAAUUUAAGCUUUACAUUUGAAGGAAAAAUAAAAUUUUUUAGGAACAAGCAAGUACUCAGAGAUUUUAUUACCACCAGGCCUGCUUUACAAGAACUUCUAAAAGAAGCAUUAUACACAGAAAGGAACAACCAGUAUGACCCUUUCUAAAAAUACACCAAAAAGUAAAGAGCAUUAACAUAAAGAAGAAUUUUUAUCAACAAAAGGACAAAAUAGCCAGUUAAUAUCAAACGGCAGCAACCCUAAAUUUAAAUCGACCAAAUCUCCCAAUCAAAAGAUACAGACAAAAUCUAACGGUAUAUCCAAAGAUAUACAUAGACUCAAAAUAAAGGGUUGGAAAAAAAACGUACCAACCAAAUGGAGAGCAAAAAUAAAUAAAUAAAAAGCAGGAGUUGCAAUUUUCACAUUUGACAAAAUAGAUUUCAAAGCUACAAGAAUAAAAGGAUUAAUGUAAUAAUAAGAGAUCUUAACACCCAGAUACAUAAGACCCAUAAUGAGAUUUAGAUUCAACGAGACAGAAAAUUGAAAACGAUAUCCAGGACUGGAACUAAGAUCCAGAACAAAUAAACUCAAUAGGGCUCUCCAUUUUAAACACACAAAAUAUACAUUAUCCACAAAAUCUAACGAUAUAUCUAAAGAUAUACAAAGACUCAAAACAAGGGGAUGGAAAAAAAACUCACCAACCAAAUGGAGAGCAAAAAUAAAUAAAUAAAAAGCAGGAGUUGCAAUUCUCACACUUAAUAAAAUAGAUUUCAAAGCUACAAGGAUGCAAGGGUAAAAGGAUUAAUGCAACAAUAAGAGAUCUUAACACCCAGAUACAUAAGACACAUAAUGAGAUUUAGAUUCAACGAGACAACAAAUUGAUAACGAUAUCCAGGACUUGAACUCAGAGCCAGAACAAAUAAACACAAUAGAGGUCUCCAUUUUAAACACAUAAAAUACGCAUUAACCACUUUAAACACUCAAAAUAUUGAUCGGCCAUUAUUGAAACCCAUUUUAGGAAUGAAGUAAUAUUCCUUUUUCCCUCUUUUUCUUUUUUUCCCCUUCUUCUUCUAAAAAAAAAAAAGAAAGAAAGAAAACAGAUGCCUCUGUCUGUGUUUGUGAACAGGAGUGUUGGGUCUAAUGUCUUUCUCUGGUAGCUCUGCGGGAAGAUUGCCCACCUCACCCUUGCUUUCUUCGGGUUCUAGAGGCUUCCAUUUAAAGGAGCUUCUCUCCCCACUCUGCCUCACCCGACACCAGCUCUCCUGUUCCCACUGGCUUUCCUCCACCUCCACCUCAUUGCAUUCAAGACUGGAAAAGAGUCAAAAAUUAUAAAAAGGUGGGAGUGGGGUGAUCCAGAAAUCCCUGCUAUAAUAUUUUUAAAGGAAUCUACUGGAAACUGUUUCAAAUAAAGCCCUCCCUUACUUAG
Molecule: non-coding RNA, 9739 nt
Organism: Callithrix jacchus (white-tufted-ear marmoset)
Lineage: Eukaryota; Metazoa; Chordata; Mammalia; Primates; Cebidae
Source: RefSeq, a predicted model, not a curated record